UUUUUAGGUUGGAUAAUUAUUAUCUGUUCCUCUACUCGGAGGUCAGAUAGAACAUGAUGAUUGGAGUUUGUAUCAUUAGUGAUUAAGGUCUCUGCAUAAUUAGGGCUCCUAAUACCCUAAUUGGUCCUAUCUGUU
Small nucleolar RNA from Sorex araneus (European shrew), 135 nucleotides. Its record names the gene U8. It matches the Rfam family "U8 small nucleolar RNA". Rfam says of the family: U8 is a member of the C/D class of snoRNA which contain the C (UGAUGA) and D (CUGA) box motifs. U8 is the RNA component of a small complex (the U8 snoRNP) which is required for accumulation of mature large subunit ribosomal RNAs, 5.8S and 28S rRNAs. U8 RNA has been identified in human, mouse, rat and Xenopus. The record is from Ensembl. NCBI's taxonomy places the organism in Eukaryota, Metazoa, Chordata, Mammalia, Eulipotyphla, Soricidae.